AGAGUUUGAUCCUGGCUCAGAGCGAACGCUGGCGGCAGGCCUAACACAUGCAAGUCGAACGAACUCUUCGGAGUUAGUGGCGGACGGGUGAGUAACACGUGGGAACGUGCCUUUAGGUUCGGAAUAACUCAGGGAAACUUGUGCUAAUACCGAAUGUGCCCUUCGGGGGAAAGAUUUAUCGCCUUUAGAGCGGCCCGCGUCUGAUUAGCUAGUUGGUGAGGUAAAGGCUCACCAAGGCGACGAUCAGUAGCUGGUCUGAGAGGAUGAUCAGCCACAUUGGGACUGAGACACGGCCCAAACUCCUACGGGAGGCAGCAGUGGGGAAUCUUGCGCAAUGGGCGAAAGCCUGACGCAGCCAUGCCGCGUGAAUGAUGAAGGUCUUAGGAUUGUAAAAUUCUUUCACCGGGGACGAUAAUGACGGUACCCGGAGAAGAAGCCCCGGCUAACUUCGUGCCAGCAGCCGCGGUAAUACGAAGGGGGCUAGCGUUGCUCGGAAUUACUGGGCGUAAAGGGAGCGUAGGCGGACAUUUAAGUCAGGGGUGAAAUCCCGGGGCUCAACCUCGGAAUUGCCUUUGAUACUGGGUGUCUUGAGUAUGAGAGAGGUAUGUGGAACUCCGAGUGUAGAGGUGAAAUUCGUAGAUAUUCGGAAGAACACCAGUGGCGAAGGCGACAUACUGGCUCAUUACUGACGCUGAGGCUCGAAAGCGUGGGGAGCAAACAGGAUUAGAUACCCUGGUAGUCCACGCCGUAAACGAUGAUUGCUAGUUGUCGGGAUGCAUGCAUUUCGGUGACGCAGCUAACGCAUUAAGCAAUCCGCCUGGGGAGUACGGUCGCAAGAUUAAAACUCAAAGGAAUUGACGG
Molecule: ribosomal RNA, 861 nt
Filed under: uncultured bacterium
Lineage: Bacteria
Description: bacterial SSU rRNA
Rfam family: Bacterial small subunit ribosomal RNA
Source: RNAcentral